GCCUGGCUGGCUCAGUCGGAAGAGCAUGAGACUCUUGAUCUCAGGGAGUUGUGAGUUCAAGUCCCACAUGGGGUG
Molecule: transfer RNA, 75 nt
Filed under: Canis lupus familiaris (dog)
Lineage: Eukaryota; Metazoa; Chordata; Mammalia; Carnivora; Canidae
Also listed under: 2 other names
Rfam family: tRNA
About the family: Transfer RNA (tRNA) molecules are approximately 80 nucleotides in length. Their secondary structure includes four short double-helical elements and three loops (D, anti-codon, and T loops). Further hydrogen bonds mediate the characteristic L-shaped molecular structure. tRNAs have two regions of fundamental functional importance: the anti-codon, which is responsible for specific mRNA codon recognition, and the 3' end, to which the tRNAs corresponding amino acid is attached (by aminoacyl-tRNA synthetases). tRNAs cope with the degeneracy of the genetic code in two manners: having more than one tRNA (with a specific anti-codon) for a particular amino acid; and 'wobble' base-pairing, i.e. permitting non-standard base-pairing at the 3rd anti-codon position.
Source: Rfam by way of RNAcentral